ACUCCUACGGGAGGCAGCAGUAGGGAAUCUUCCACAAUGGGCGAAAGCCUGAUGGAGCAACGCCGCGUGAGUUGAAGAAGGUUUUUCGGAUCGUAAAACUCUGUUGUAAGGGAAGAACAAGUACAGUAGUAACUGGCUGUACCUUGACGGUACCUUAUUAGAAAGCCACGGCUAACUACGUGCCAGCAGCCGCGGUAAUACGUAGGUGGCAAGCGUUGUCCGGAAUUAUUGGGCGUAAAGCGCGCGCAGGCGGUCCUUUAAGUCUGAUGUGAAAGCCCACGGCUCAACCGUGGAGGGUCAUUGGAAACUGGGGGACUUGAGUGCAGAAGAGGAAAGUGGAAUUCCAAGUGUAGCGGUGAAAUGCGUAGAGAUUUGGAGGAACACCAGUGGCGAAGGCGACUUUCUGGUCUGUAACUGACGCUGAGGCGCGAAAGCGUGGGGAGCAAACAGGAUUAGAUACCCUGGUAGUCCACGCCGUAAACGAUGAGUGCUAAGUGUUAGGGGGUUUCCGCCCCUUAGUGCUGCAGCUAACGCAUUAAGCACUCCGCCUGGGGAGUACGGUCGCAAGACUGAAACUCAAAGGAAUUGACGG
This 592-nucleotide ribosomal RNA is filed under the name Lysinibacillus sp. ApR1A33. RNAcentral describes it as "bacterial SSU rRNA". It matches the Rfam family "Bacterial small subunit ribosomal RNA", at positions 335 to 916 of the family's 1533-position model. The record is from RNAcentral. Lineage: Bacteria; Bacillati; Bacillota; Bacilli; Caryophanales; Bacillaceae.